Molecule: long non-coding RNA, 1724 nt
Organism: Peromyscus eremicus (cactus mouse)
Lineage: Eukaryota; Metazoa; Chordata; Mammalia; Rodentia; Cricetidae
Exons: 5
Source: RefSeq, a predicted model, not a curated record
GUGAGUCUUGAACUCUCUACAGAUAAGUAAUGAAAAGGUUCUAAUGAGGCAGAGAGAGAUCUCUGGUUUUGUGAGGAGGAGGUGCAGAAUGGCAUCCCCUGUGUCCAUGGGAAUGCUCCUGGAAAGGGCAACUAUUGGUUAAUUAGGGAAGAGCUCAAUGGCACGUAGGUGAAGGCUGUUGGCAGUGACCCUAACAGUACCUUCCCUGAACAUUCUAUUCUACCCUGGAGAGCCCUGAGCAUCCUCUUGAUGUCACCACUGUUGAGGCAACACCAACUGCCAUUUGGGGCAUUUGUACAGUGCCUCUGGGAUUCACAAAGACAUAUUGGUGAGACUGAGAAAGCUACUUGGGAGAGAGAAUGGACAGCCUAGAGAAGAGAGAGAGGCAGAAGGAAGCUGGUCAUCUGUCUCAGGAUAAAACAUCAAGAAAUAAAUGUUCCAGGGGAAGGAAUGACUGGAAAGGCAUCAUUUCAACUCAACCCUCACUGAGCAGGAUCUGGAGAUGAACAAGGUGGAGAAACUGACCAUUCAGCUACAGAUGAUGACCUGUUAGAGGAAUGAACUGCAUUGAAUCUUGGACCAUUAUACUAAUAAUGAUUUGAACAGCAGGAGAGAACAUCAGUCUCAAUGAAAUGCCAACACACUGUCAUGAACGAGUCAAGGCUGUGUUGCUUUAAGAGCAAGGAGGAAAGAUGAAAUGGGAAUAUUAACUACAUGAGCAUGUAGAUAGAAAACCAUCCAUUACUACAGUCAUCAGAACAAGAACUAAUUAGACAACUGCUGUCCUGAGAGCUGGAUUGUUUGGCCCCAUGGUCCUGGAUCUGAAGUGCAUCUCCUGCCCCUCUGCACAGAUUGAUUUGGGACAUUGUUUGUUUACCGGCCUCAAGUAAAUUCUGAGUGAACAAACAUAUCUAAAGACCCAGAAAUGAAGAUAAAUGACAGAGAAUAUAUUUCUGUGGACAAGAAACUGUGUCUGUUUCUUGAUCAAACUACAUCACAGUAUUUAUAUCGAUCGGAGCCAGCUCGCCAGAAGAGGUUAAAGAGGAGGGUUCGAAAACUUUUUGGAAGUCCGGAAGUUAAUGUUUGUCCUCAGGGAGAGCCUCUACCUAAUACCUCUGAAGAGCAAACACCCCGAAAGGUAAUCCCCACUGACUUGAAAAGUAACAUAUUUGUUUGGGAGGGGAAAGCUGCAUCUGUGUGCCCAUGUCUGCAGUAUUGCAGAUGGUGUCAGAAAAGAGGAGUCCAGCCUCAAACGUAUCCUGUCCCUCCUUCACACCCUCACUUCCAGGGACACUCUUGCCAGUCACCAUCUAUGGCCUAAGUGAAAAUAAGUUAGAUCAUAGAAAUAAAAACUCAAAAGUAAACAUGCUUUUAACACAAGUCAGGAGAACUCAUCAAAACAGAGAGAAUAAACAAUUAGACUCCUGGAGUAAUUACAGUCAACAUGAAAGUGAGCAAAAUGCUUGUGUUUUUGGAGACUUGUUCAUUUUAUGUGGAUGAAUGUUUUAUCUGCAUUCUGUCUGUGCACCAUGUGUGUGCCCACUGCCCACAGAGGUCAGAAGAGGACAUCAGAUCUCCUGGAACUGGACUUACAGAUGGUUGUCAGCUCCCAUGUGGGUGCUGUGAAUCGAUCCCGGGUCUUCUGCAAAAACAACAAGUAUUCUCAAGGCUGAGCCACUCUUCCAGCUCCCAGAAUGAAUGCUGGAGAUGCAAAUGAUUAGAGU